GAUGAACGCUGGCGGCGUGCCUAAUACAUGCAAGUCGAGCGAACAGACGAGGAGCUUGCUCCUCUGACGUUAGCGGCGGACGGGUGAGUAACACGUGGAUAACCUACCUAUAAGACUGGGAUAACUUCGGGAAACCGGAGCUAAUACCGGAUAAUAUAUUGAACCGCAUGGUUCAAUAGUGAAAGACGGUUUUGCUGUCACUUAUAGAUGGAUCCGCGCCGCAUUAGCUAGUUGGUAAGGUAACGGCUUACCAAGGCAACGAUGCGUAGCCGACCUGAGAAGGUGAUCGGCCACACUGGAACUGAGACACGGUCCAGACUCCUGCGGGAGGCAGCAGUAGGGAAUCAUCCGCAAUGGGCGAAAGCCUGACGGAGCAACGCCGCGUGAGUGAUGAAGGUCUUCGGAUCGUAAAACUCUGUUAUUAGGGAAGAACAAAUGUGUAAGUAACUAUGCACGUCUUGACGGUACCUAAUCAGAAAGCCACGGCUAACUACGUG
This 497-nucleotide ribosomal RNA is filed under the name uncultured bacterium. RNAcentral's name for it is "partial 16S ribosomal RNA". It matches the Rfam family "Bacterial small subunit ribosomal RNA", at positions 28 to 507 of the family's 1533-position model. The record is from RNAcentral.